GGCAGUCAGUAUGUCAGUAUGGCAGUCAGUAUGUCAGUAUGGCAGUCAGUAUGGCAGGCAGGCAGUCAGUAUGGCAGGCAGGCAGUCAGUAUGGCAGGCAGGCAGUCAGUAUGGCAGGCAGGCAGUCAGUAUGGCAGGCAGUCAGUCUCUAAUAAUAAUAAUACUGAUAAUAUUAAACAUGGAGUAGCUGGACUGCCAUGAGAUCAGAUCACAGAGGGGGCCGCAGGGGAUUCUGGGAGAUGCCGGGUCAGCCCUGUCACCCCGAGCGGCCGGUACCGGGAACGGACUCACCGAACUCUGAGGCGAUAUCCCGGCUCAGGUAUUCCCGCCAAGCAAAUCAAACCGAACCGACCGAGACACAGCUGCU
This is a non-coding RNA of Pelobates cultripes (western spadefoot toad), 367 nucleotides long. The record is from the annotation of a GenBank genome assembly. Lineage: Eukaryota; Metazoa; Chordata; Amphibia; Anura; Pelobatidae.